GACCUUCGGGCCUCUUGCCAUCGGAUGUGCCCAGAUGGGAUUAGCUAGUAGGUGGGGUAACGGCUCACCUAGGCGACGAUCCCUAGCUGGUCUGAGAGGAUGACCAGCCACACUGGAACUGAGACACGGUCCAGACUCCUACGGGAGGCAGCAGUGGGGAAUAUUGCACAAUGGGCGCAAGCCUGAUGCAGCCAUGCCGCGUGUAUGAAGAAGGCCUUCGGGUUGUAAAGUACUUUCAGCGGGGAGGAAGGGAGUAAAGUUAAUACCUUUGCUCAUUGACGUUACCCGCAGAAGAAGCACCGGCUAACUCCGUGCCAGCAGCCGCGGUAAUACGGAGGGUGCAAGCGUUAAUCGGAAUUACUGGGCGUAAAGCGCACGCAGGCGGUUUGUUAAGUCAGAUGUGAAAUCCCCGGGCUCAACCUGGGAACUGCAUCUGAUACUGGCAAGCUUGAGUCUCGUAGAGGGGGGUAGAAUUCCAGGUGUAGCGGUGAAAUGCGUAGAGAUCUGGAGGAAUACCGGUGGCGAAGGCGGCCCCCUGGACGAAGACUGACGCUCAGGUGCGAAAGCGUGGGGAGCAAACAGGAUU
This 586-nucleotide ribosomal RNA is filed under the name Shigella flexneri. RNAcentral's name for it is "bacterial SSU rRNA". It matches the Rfam family "Bacterial small subunit ribosomal RNA", at positions 208 to 779 of the family's 1533-position model. Lineage: Bacteria; Pseudomonadati; Pseudomonadota; Gammaproteobacteria; Enterobacterales; Enterobacteriaceae. The record is from RNAcentral.